RNAcentral lists this ribosomal RNA (427 nucleotides) under uncultured bacterium. RNAcentral's name for it is "bacterial SSU rRNA". It matches the Rfam family "Bacterial small subunit ribosomal RNA", at positions 355 to 774 of the family's 1533-position model. The record is from RNAcentral.
UGGGGAAUAUUGGACAAUGGGCGCAAGUCUGACCGAGCAACGCCGCGUGAGUGAAGAAGGUUUUCGGAUCGUAAAACUCUGUUGUUAGAGAAGAACGUUGUGUAGAGUGGAAAAUUACACAAGUGACGGUAUCUAACCAGAAAGGGACGGCUAACUACGUGCCAGCAGCCGCGGUAAUACGUAGGUCCCGAGCGUUGUCCGGAUUUAUUGGGCGUAAAGCGAGCGCAGGUGGUUUAAUAAGUCUGAUGUAAAAGGCAGUGGCUCAACCAUUGUGUGCAUUGGAAACUGUUAGACUUGAGUGCAGUAGAGGAGAGUGGAAUUCCAUGUGUAGCGGUGAAAUGCGUAGAUAUAUGGAGGAACACCGGUGGCGAAAGCGGCUCUCUGGACUGUAACUGUCACUGAGGCUCGAAAGCGUGGGUAGCAAACA